UACGGGGGGGGCAAGCGUUGUUCGGAAUUACUGGGCGUAAAGGGCUCGUAGGCGGCCUUCUAAGUCAGACGUGAAAUCCCCGGGCUCAACCCGGGAACUGCGUCUGAUACUGGAGGGCUUGAAUCCGGGAGAGGGAUGUGGAAUUCCAGGUGUAACGGUGAAAUGCGUAGAUAUCUGGAGGAACACCGGUGGCGAAGGCGGCAUCCUGGACCGGUAUUGACGCUGAGGCGCGAAAGCCAGGGGAGCAAACGGG
RNAcentral lists this ribosomal RNA (253 nucleotides) under uncultured bacterium. Its description in RNAcentral is "partial 16S ribosomal RNA". It matches the Rfam family "Bacterial small subunit ribosomal RNA", at positions 524 to 776 of the family's 1533-position model. The record is from RNAcentral.